Molecule: ribosomal RNA, 171 nt
Filed under: Clostridium thermopalmarium
Lineage: Bacteria; Bacillati; Bacillota; Clostridia; Eubacteriales; Clostridiaceae
Description: partial 16S ribosomal RNA
Rfam family: Bacterial small subunit ribosomal RNA
Source: RNAcentral
UCCUACGGGAGGCAGCAGUGGGGAAUAUUGCGCAAUGGGGGAAACCCUGACGCAGCAACGCCGCGUGAGCGAUGAAGGUCUUCGGAUUGUAAAGCUCUGUCUUUAGGGACGAUAAUGACGGUACCUAAGGAGGAAGCCACGGCUAACUACGUGCCAGCAGCCGCGGUAAUA